GAUGAACGCUGGCGGCGUGCCUAAUACAUGCAAGUCGAGCGAACAGACGAUGCUCUUGCUCCUUUGUCGUUUGCGGCGGACGUGUGAGUCACACGUGUAUCCCCUACCUAUCAGACUGGGAUAACUUCGGGAAUCCGGAUCUUAUCCCGUAUAAUAUCUUGAUCCGCAUUGUUCAUUAGUGAAAUACGGUUUUGCUGUCUCUUAUCGAUGCUUCCGCGCCGCAUUAGCUAGUUGGUAAGGUAACGGCUUAUCAAGGCAACGAUGCGUAGCCGACCUGAGAGGGUGAUAGGCCACACUGGAACUGAGACACGGUACAGACGCCUACGGGAGGCAGCAGUAGGGAAUCGUCCGCAAUGGGCGAAAGAAUGACGGAGCAAGGCCGAGUGAGUGAUGAAGGUCUUCGGAUCGUAAAACUCUGUUAUUAGGGAAGAACAAAUGUGUAAGUAACUAUGCACGUCUUGACGGUACAUAAUCAGAAAGCCACGGCUAACUACGUG
RNAcentral lists this ribosomal RNA (497 nucleotides) under uncultured bacterium. Its description in RNAcentral is "partial 16S ribosomal RNA". It matches the Rfam family "Bacterial small subunit ribosomal RNA", at positions 28 to 507 of the family's 1533-position model. The record is from RNAcentral.